CCGUUGCCGGCGACCGGCGCACGGGUGAGUAACACGUAUGCAACCUGCCCGUGGCAGGGGGAUAAGCGGGGGAAACCCCGUCUAAUACCGCGUAACGCGGCCUUGGGGCAUCCCAAGGCCGCCAAAGGGAGCAAUCCCGGCCACGGAUGGGCAUGCGGCGCAUUAGCUAGUCGGCGGGGUAACGGCCCACCGAGGCGACGAUGCGUAGGGGUUCUGAGAGGAAGGUCCCCCACAUUGGAACUGAGACACGGUCCAAACUCCUACGGGAGGCAGCAG
Molecule: ribosomal RNA, 276 nt
Filed under: uncultured bacterium
Lineage: Bacteria
Description: partial 16S ribosomal RNA
Rfam family: Bacterial small subunit ribosomal RNA
Source: RNAcentral